AGGGCACCACCAGGAGUGGAGCCCGCGGCUUAAUUUGACUCAACACGGGAAAACUCACCCGGCCCGGACACUGGAAGGAUUGACAGAUUGAGAGCUCUUUCUUGAUUCAGUGGGUGGUGGUGCAUGGCCGUUCUUAGUUGGUGGAGUGAUUUGUCUGGUUAAUUCCGAUAACGAACGAGACUCUAGCCUACUAAAUAGAUCGUCGGCUUACAAACGCCGGCGAGACUUCUUAGAGGGACAGGCGGUGAUUCAACCGCACGAAACAGAGCAAUAACAGGUCUGUGAUGCCCUUAGAUGUCCGGGGCCGCACGCGCGCUACACUGAAGUGAUCAGCGUGCUUUUUCAACCUACUCUGUCAAGAGUGGGGAACCCAAUGAACCUUCUUCGUGAUUGGGAUAGGGGAUUGUAAUUAUUCCCCUUGAACGAGGAAUUCCCAGUAAGCGCGAGUCAUAAGCUCGCGUUGAUUACGUCCCUGCCCUUUGUACACACCGCCCGUCGCUACUACCGAUUGAAUGUUUU
RNAcentral lists this ribosomal RNA (519 nucleotides) under uncultured eukaryote. Its description in RNAcentral is "SSU rRNA". It matches the Rfam family "Eukaryotic small subunit ribosomal RNA", at positions 1161 to 1699 of the family's 1831-position model. The record is from RNAcentral.